Molecule: ribosomal RNA, 417 nt
Filed under: Staphylococcus pseudintermedius
Lineage: Bacteria; Bacillati; Bacillota; Bacilli; Caryophanales; Staphylococcaceae
Description: bacterial SSU rRNA
Rfam family: Bacterial small subunit ribosomal RNA
Source: RNAcentral
GGCUCAGGAUGAACGCUGGCGGCGUGCCUAAUACAUGCAAGUCGAGCGAACAGAUAAGGAGCUUGCUCCUUUGACGUUAGCGGCGGACGGGUGAGUAACACGUGGGUAACCUACCUAUAAGACUGGAAUAACUCCGGGAAACCGGGGCUAAUGCCGGAUAACAUGUUGAACCGCAUGGUUCUACAGUGAAAGACGGUCUUGCUGUCACUUAUAGAUGGACCCGCGCCGUAUUAGCUAGUUGGUGGGGUAACGGCCUACCAAGGCGACGAUACGUAGCCGACCUGAGAGGGUGAUCGGCCACACUGGAACUGAGACACGGUCCAGACUCCUACGGGAGGCAGCAGUAGGGAAUCUUCCGCNAUGGGCGAAAGCCUGACGGAGCAACGCCGCGUGAGUGAUGAAGGUCUUCGGAUCGUA